This 301-nucleotide ribosomal RNA is filed under the name uncultured bacterium. RNAcentral's name for it is "partial 16S ribosomal RNA". It matches the Rfam family "Bacterial small subunit ribosomal RNA", at positions 509 to 807 of the family's 1533-position model. The record is from RNAcentral.
CAGCCGCCGCGGUAAUACGAAGGGUGCAAGCGUUAAUCGGAAUUACUGGGCGUAAAGCGUGCGUAGGCGGUGAGUUAAGUCUGCUGUGAAAUCCCCGGGCUCAACCUGGGAAUGGCAGUGGAUACUGGCUCGCUAGAGUGUGUCAGAGGAUGGUGGAAUUCCCGGUGUAGCGGUGAAAUGCGUAGAGAUCGGGAGGAACACCGGUGGCGAAGGCGGCAACCUGGCUCAUUACUGACGCUGAGGCGCGAAAGCGUGGGGAGCAAACAGGAUUAGAGACCCCUGUAGUCCCUGUCUCUUAUAC